UAUGCCACUCCCCUGUUGAGGCUGGUGACACUACCGCCACGCCAAAAUUGCACCUGGUGGCAAUUCACAGGUACUAAUUUUGGAUAUUUCCGAAGGGAACAUUUUUUUCUCUCCAGUUUUAGUUCAGGGUUCUAUAAUAUCAUAGCAACCUGCCUGCUAUUUCGAAACUUUGUUGAUAUUGUUUUGUCAAAACUCGAGAUUUUGCUUGAAUAUUACGGUGAGCCGUUCAUUAAGAUUCCUGCCAAAUUUCUCUUCAGGAAGUCGCUUAUCCCGAAUGUCGUUGUCGGGAAAAGCAUGCAACAGUAACAGUUACGUUCCAAUUGCUGCCAAUGAAUCCGUGUGAGCCGUGUUUGCAGAUCAUGCGAUGUGCUCGAGAAACCACUGACGUCUUCUUUAAAAUUUUCCGAGAAAUACUUUAAAGCGGUCUACCAAAAUCCGUUGCCUUGUCCUCAACAGUGUGCUUACCUCCAACAAGGGUAAUUUGGUAAUGCCCGGUUCAGUGCCGAGAGUGUGUCGUGAACCAGCUGAAGUCAUCCCGGCGAGCUCACCAGCAGAGACUUGGACAAGGAGUGUGGCUCAUGUGCAAGAGCAUCACGUGGAGGACAAGAACACCAGAAGAACUCGGCACUCCGCAAAUCUCAUACCGAGGCACCUACUGGGAAUCGGUCCAUCGCGACGCUACGGGCACGACGUCAAGGAACACAUAAACGAGCACCGCCAGCGGAGUUGGACGUACAUUGCAACCAGCGCUACCAAAUGUGACCACCAGGUGCACGGACUGCUAUUCUAAAGAGAUCGAAUCCAAAAAGAACGCCCCCACACGGAAAGGGGGCGUUUUGUAUACAAUUUUUGGUGCGCAGAAGCGAUCUACGGAGCACAAGUCGAUCCUCGAACAGGUUGGUCGAUCAGCGGUCGUCGCGAGGACUCAAGGCGACUUUGCGCUCCACACGUGCGCGCGACGCUUGGCGUGGAAAAGUAGAGUGCUAGCGAGAGGCAGACGAACAUCAGGAAGACGUGAAAGCGCAGUGUGCGAACACGAGGCGGACGGUGUGUACGUCGUGGAGACGUGGAGACGCAACGCGCGAAUGCGGGAACGUGUGCGCGUCACUUGGACGUGGGAAAGCAGUGCGCUAGCGUGAGGCGGUCGGAGUACGCGUGCGUCAAUGAUACGAGGUCGCAGGAACGCGGUACCCGAACACAGGGUGGGUCGAGAGUGGGUGUGAGCAUGACGUGGAGGUGCGGCAGGGUAGCAGAAGCAAGUGUGGUCUGGGUAGCGAAAGGAUGGGCCCAUCUGGUAGUAAGUAGGGAGAAUUGUGUUGUCCAUUAGGAUAAGGAAGCAGGGAUAAGAGUUUGGCAGGAGAAACCAUAAUAUGUAAACAACUCGAAUAAAGUAUGGCACUUCAGGCUCGGAUCCUCAUCAACACA
Culex quinquefasciatus (southern house mosquito) is the source of this 1425-nucleotide long non-coding RNA. RefSeq lists it as uncharacterized. Lineage: Eukaryota; Metazoa; Arthropoda; Insecta; Diptera; Culicidae. The record is from RefSeq and is a predicted model, not a curated record. The transcript is spliced from 3 exons.